This 484-nucleotide ribosomal RNA is filed under the name uncultured bacterium. RNAcentral describes it as "partial 16S ribosomal RNA". It matches the Rfam family "Bacterial small subunit ribosomal RNA", at positions 28 to 523 of the family's 1533-position model. The record is from RNAcentral.
GACGAACGCUGGCGGCGUGCUUAGCACAUGCAAGUCGAACGAUGAAGCUGGAGCUUGCUCCGGUGGAUUAGUGGCGAACGGGUGAGUAACACGUGAGCAAUCUGCCCUUGACUCUGGGAUAACUGCGGGAAACUGUAGCUAAUACCGGAUACUUUCACUGGAAGGCAUCUUCUGGUGAAGCAAGAAUUUCGGUCAAGGAUGAGCUCGCGGCCUAUCAGCUUGUUGGUGAGGUAACGGCUCACCAAGGCGACGACGGGUAGCCGGCCUGAGAGGGUGACCGGCCACACUGGGACUGAGACACGGCCCAGACUCCUACGGGAGGCAGCAGUGGGGAAUAUUGCACAAUGGGCGCAAGCCUGAUGCAGCAACGCCGCGUGAGUGAUGAAGGCCUUCGGGUUGUAAACCUCUUUUAGCAGGGAAGAAGCGAAAGUGACGGUACCUGCAGAAAAAGCACCGGCUAACUACGUGCCAGCCGCCGCCGUAA